Molecule: ribosomal RNA, 218 nt
Filed under: uncultured bacterium
Lineage: Bacteria
Description: partial 16S ribosomal RNA
Rfam family: Bacterial small subunit ribosomal RNA
Source: RNAcentral
GACGAACGCUGGCGGCGUGCUUAACACAUGCAAGUCGAGCGGUAAGGCCCUUUGGGGUACACGAGCGGCGAACGGGUGAGUAACACGUGAGUAAUCUGCCUUUGGCUUGGGAAUAACUUCGGGAAAUCGGGGCUAAUGCCUGAUGUUUACUGUCUGCUGCAUGGUGGGGUGGUGGAAAGUAUUUUUUGGCCAGGGAUGAGCUCGCGGUCUAUCAGCUU